AAACUUGAGCUAAUACCGUAUAAUGACUUCGGUCCAAAGAUUUAUCGCCUGAGGAUGAGCCCGCGUAGGAUUAGCUUGUUGGUGAGGUAAAAGCUCACCAAGGCGACGAUCCUUAGCUGGUCUGAGAGGAUGAUCAGCCACACUGGGACUGAGACACGGCCCAGACACCUACGGGAGGCAGCAGUGGGGAAUAUUGGACAAUGGGCGAAAGCCUGAUCCAGCAAUGCCGCGUGAGUGAUGAAGGCCUUAGGGUUGUAAAGCUCUUUUACCCGGGAUGAUAAUGACAGUACCGGGAGAAUAAGCCCCGGCUAACUCC
RNAcentral lists this ribosomal RNA (316 nucleotides) under uncultured Alphaproteobacteria bacterium. RNAcentral's name for it is "bacterial SSU rRNA". It matches the Rfam family "Bacterial small subunit ribosomal RNA", at positions 154 to 504 of the family's 1533-position model. Lineage: Bacteria; Pseudomonadati; Pseudomonadota; Alphaproteobacteria. The record is from RNAcentral.